Molecule: ribosomal RNA, 468 nt
Filed under: uncultured bacterium
Lineage: Bacteria
Description: partial 16S ribosomal RNA
Rfam family: Bacterial small subunit ribosomal RNA
Source: RNAcentral
GACGAACGCUGGCGGCGUGCUUAACACAUGCAAGUCGAACGGAAAGGCCCUGCUUUUGUGGGGUGCCCGAGUGGCGAACGGGUGAGUAACACGUGAGUAACCUGCCCUUGACUUUGGGAUAACUUCAGGAAACUGGGGCUAAUACCGGAUAGGAGCUCCUGCUGCAUGGUGGGGGUUGGAAAGUUUCGGCGGUUGGGGAUGGACUCGCGGCUUAUCAGCUUGUUGGUGGGGUAGUGGCUUACCAAGGCUUGGACGGGUAGCCGGCCUGGGAGGGUGACCGGCCACAUUGGGACUGAGAUACGGCCCAGACUCCUACGGGAGGCAGCAGUGGGGAAUAUUGCACAAUGGGCGGAAGCCUGAUGCAGCGACGCCGCGUGCGGGAUGACGGCCUUCGGGUUGUAAACCGCUUUCGCCUGUGACGAAGCGUGAGUGACGGUAAUGGGUAAAGAAGCACCGGCUAACUACGUG